CACGCUGUAAACGAUGUGAACUAGGUGUAGGUGGUAUUGACCCCAUCUGUGCCAAAGCCAACGCGAUAAGUUCACCGCCUGGGGAGUACGGCCGCAAGGCUAAAACUCAAAGGAAUUGACGGGGGCCCGCACAAGCAGCGGAGCGUGUGGUUUAAUUCGAUGCGACGCGAAGAACCUUACCUGGGCUUGACAUGUACCUAGUAGUGAACCGAAAGGGGAACGAGCCUUCGGGCAGGGUACACAGGUGC
This 248-nucleotide ribosomal RNA is filed under the name uncultured bacterium. RNAcentral's name for it is "partial 16S ribosomal RNA". It matches the Rfam family "Bacterial small subunit ribosomal RNA", at positions 796 to 1041 of the family's 1533-position model. The record is from RNAcentral.